AACGAACGCUGGCGGCAUGCCUAACACAUGCAAGUCGAACGAGACCUUCGGGUCUAGUGGCGCACGGGUGCGUAACGCGUGGGAACCUGCCCUUAGGUUCGGAAUAACUCCCCGAAAGGGGUGCUAAUACCGGAUAAUGUCUUCGGACCAAAGAUUUAUCGCCUUUGGAUGGGCCCGCGUUGGAUUAGCUAGUUGGUAGGGUAAAAGCCUACCAAGGCGACGAUCCAUAGCUGGUCUGAGAGGAUGAUCAGCCACACUGGGACUGAGACACGGCCCAGACUCCUACGGGAAGCAGCAGUGGGGAAUAGUGGACAAUGGGCGGAAGCCUGAUCCAGCAAUGCCGCGUGAGUGAUGAAGGCCUUAGGGUUGUAAAGCUCUUUUACCCGGGAUGAUAAUGACAGUACCGGGAGAAUAAGCUCCGGCUAACUCCGUG
RNAcentral lists this ribosomal RNA (433 nucleotides) under uncultured bacterium. RNAcentral's name for it is "partial 16S ribosomal RNA". It matches the Rfam family "Bacterial small subunit ribosomal RNA", at positions 29 to 507 of the family's 1533-position model. The record is from RNAcentral.